UGAGGAAUAUUGCCCAAUGGACGCAAGUCUGAGGCAGCAACGCCGCGUGGGCGAUGAAGGCCUUCGGGUUGUAAAGCCCUUUUCUGGGGGAAGAGGAAGGACGGUACCUCAGGAAUAAGUCACGGCUAACUACGUGCCAGCAACCGCGGUAAUACGUAGGUGGCAAGCGUCAUCCGGAUUCACUGGGCGUAAAGCGCGUGCAGGCGGUUUCGUAAGUCGGACGUGAAAGCUCCUGGCUUAACUGGGAGAGGUCGUUCGAUACUGCGGGGAUUGAGGUCGGGAGAGGGACGUGGGAUUCCCGGGGUAGUGGUGGAAAGCGUAAAUAUCGGGAGGGAAACCAGUGGGGGAGGCGACGUCCUGGGCCGCACCUGACGCUGAGA
RNAcentral lists this ribosomal RNA (380 nucleotides) under uncultured bacterium. Its description in RNAcentral is "bacterial SSU rRNA". It matches the Rfam family "Bacterial small subunit ribosomal RNA", at positions 355 to 751 of the family's 1533-position model. The record is from RNAcentral.